UUUUUUUUAUCAGAAACGAAGAAAAAUAUAUUAAAAGAAGAAAAGAUACAAGAGAAGGAAGAGAUACAAGAGAAAGAGAAGAAACAAGAGAAGGAUCAAAGGUCCUUCCCACAUAAACAAAAACUGAAACAAAAGAGAAAACAUCCAACUUUAGAAAACUAAAUACAAAGAAAAACUCCAACACUCUCAAACUUUUGAAACACAAACCGCAGUCCAGUUGAGUUGUAAAACACUAA
Molecule: long non-coding RNA, 236 nt
Filed under: Vitis vinifera (wine grape)
Lineage: Eukaryota; Viridiplantae; Streptophyta; Magnoliopsida; Vitales; Vitaceae
Description: long non-coding RNA (VVIN_LNC007926)
Source: RNAcentral